GACGAACGCUGGCGGCGUGCUUAACACAUGCAAGUCGAACGCGCUGUACUCCUUCGGGAGUGCAGUGAGUGGCGAACGGGUGAGUAACACGUGAGCAACCUGCCCUUGACUCUGGAAUAACAGCUGGAAACAGCUGCUAAUACCGGAUACGACCUUCGGUGGCAUCAUCUGGAGGUGGAAAGCUCCGACGGUCAAGGAUGGGCUCGCGGCCUAUCAGCUUGUUGGUGAGGUAACGGCUCACCAAGGCUUCGACGGGUAGCCGGCCUGAGAGGGCGACCGGCCACACUGGGACUGAGAUACGGCCCAGACUCCUACGGGAGGCAGCAGUGGGGAAUAUUGCACAAUGGGCGCAAGCCUGAUGCAGCAACGCCGCGUGCGGGAUGACGGCCUUCGGGUUGUAAACCGCUUUCAGUAGGGACGAAGGUAACCUGACGGUACCUACAGAAGAAGGACCGGCCAACUACGUGCCAGCAGCCGCGGUGAUACGUAGGGUCCGAGCGUUGUCCGGAAUUAUUGGGCGUAAAGGGCUUGUAGGCGGUCUGCUGCGUCGGAAGUGAAAACUCAGGGCUUAACCUGAGCCUGCUUCCGAUACGGGCAGACUAGAGGGAUGCAGGGGAGAACGGAAUUCCUGGUGGAGCGGUGGAAUGCGCAGAUAUCAGGAGGAACACCGGUGGCGAAGGCGGUUCUCUGGGCAUUUCCUGACGCUGAGAAGCGAAAGCGUGGGGAGCAAACAGGCUUAGAUACCCUGGUAGUCCACGCCGUAAACGGUGGGCACUAGGUGUGGGGAACAUUCCACGUUCUCCGUGCCGCAGCUAACGCAUUAAGUGCCCCGCCUGGGGAGUACGGCCGCAAGGCUAAAACUCAAAGGAAUUGACGGGGGCCCGCACAAGCGGCGGAGCAUGCGGAUUAAUUCGAUGCAACGCGAAGAACCUUACCUGGGUUUGACAUAUACCGGAAAGCCGUAGAGAUACGGCCCCCGCAAGGUCGGUAUACAGGUGGUGCAUGGCUGUCGUCAGCUCGUGUCGUGAGAUGUUGGGUUAAGUCCCGCAACGAGCGCAACCCUUGUCCUAUGUUGCCAGCGGAUCAUGCCGGGGACUCAUAGGAGACUGCCGGGGUCAACUCGGAGGAAGGUGGGGAUGAGGUCAAGUCAUCAUGCCCCUUAAGUCCAGGGCUUCACGCAUGCUACAAUGGCUGAUACAAAGGGCUGCAAGACCGCAAGGUUAAGCGAAUCCCAAAAAGUCAGUCUCAGUUCGGAUUGGGGUCUGCAACUCGACCCCAUGAAGUCGGAGUCGCUAGUAAUCGCAGAUCAGCAACGCUGCGGUGAAUACGUUCCCGGGCCUUGUACACACCGCCCGUCAAGUCAUGAAAGUCGGUAACACCCGAAGCCGGUGGCCCAACCCUUGUGGAGGGAGCCGUCGAAGGUGGGACUGGCGAUUAGGACU
This 1442-nucleotide ribosomal RNA is filed under the name uncultured bacterium. Its description in RNAcentral is "bacterial SSU rRNA". It matches the Rfam family "Bacterial small subunit ribosomal RNA". The record is from RNAcentral.